GAGUUUUAAACUCACCAACCCACUGUGAACAUACCUACGUUGCUUCGGCGGCGGGCUUCGGCCCCCGCCGGGGACCCAAACACUAUUUUUAACCGAUACCUCUGAGUAAAAAACAAAUAAAUCAAAACCUUUAACAACGGAUCUCUUGGCUCU
RNAcentral lists this unclassified non-coding RNA (153 nucleotides) under rhizosphere metagenome. RNAcentral describes it as "partial ribosomal RNA internal transcribed spacer region". The record is from RNAcentral.